UACCUCAAGUCAAGUAAGAAUACCCGCUGAACUUAAGCAUAUCAAUAAGCGGAGGAAAAGAAACUAACUAGGAUUCCCUUAGUAACGGCGAGUGAACUGGGAAAAGCUCAAAUUUUAAAUCACCUCGGUGAAUUGUAAUUUGAAGAAAGUGGUUUGACUUUUCAGUUUAAUCUAAAUCCUUUGGGAUGAGGUAUCAUAGAGGGUGAGAAUCCCGUUCUUGAUUAAACCUCGGAUUGCACUAAAUUCACUUUCUAAGAGUCGAGUUGUUUGGGAUUGCAGCUCCAAAUGGGUGGUAAAUUUCACCUAAGGCUAAAUAUAUGCAAGAGACCGAUAGCGAACAAGUACCGUGAGGGAAAGAUGAAAAGUACUUUGAAAAGAGAGUUAAACAGUACGUGAAAUUGUUGAAAGGGAAACGAUUGAAGUCAGUCAUGCUAGUGAGGAAUCAACUUGGUGGUUUACUUCCUUGUGCAUUUUCUCGCUUGGCAGGUUAGCAUCAAUUUUGGUUGUCAUCAAAGAAUUGGGGGAAUGUGACUUUUCUUCGGUAAAGUGUUAUAGACCCUGAUUGAUGUGGCGACUGGGAUUGAGGUUUGCAGCGGAUGCCUCUUGUGGCUAGUCACCUGUCUUCUGACCGUCACCUCACUUUUGACAGCUUGCUGAUGAUUGCGGGAUUUGGCGACCUAGAAGUUAGAGUGAACAUAAAUUCGCUAAGGAUGCUGACGUAAUGGCUUUAAACGACCCGUCUUGAAACACGGACCAAGGAGUCUAACAUAUGUGCGAGUGUUUGGGUGAUAAAACCCGGAACGCGUAAUGAAAGUGAUUCUGGUGGGAACCCCUCGGGGUGCACCAUCGACCGAUCAGGAUAUUCUUUGAUAGAUUUGAGUAAGAGCA
RNAcentral lists this ribosomal RNA (888 nucleotides) under Acaulospora brasiliensis. RNAcentral describes it as "eukaryotic LSU rRNA". It matches the Rfam family "Eukaryotic large subunit ribosomal RNA", at positions 1 to 802 of the family's 3401-position model. Lineage: Eukaryota; Fungi; Glomeromycota; Glomeromycetes; Diversisporales; Acaulosporaceae. The record is from RNAcentral.